RNAcentral lists this long non-coding RNA (1932 nucleotides) under Homo sapiens (human). RNAcentral describes it as "novel transcript". The record is from RNAcentral. Lineage: Eukaryota; Metazoa; Chordata; Mammalia; Primates; Hominidae.
CAAUUCAUUAUCAUAAUUAGAGGUGAUUAACAAUAAUAUAUAAUAUUACUAACUAUUCAAUCACAUGUGCAUGUGUGUGUGUAUGUUUUGGAAACACUAUAGGUUAAAACAUAGUUGAUUGUUUUAAUUCUUGUAGUUAUUAUUAUUUUAUUGAGGCUCACAUCAUCUCAUCUUUGCCUAGAAAAAGGCUUCCCUAGCUGGCUCCAAAGUGUUUUAGACAUAGCCCCAAAAGUCACUGCUAGCUCUCUUGCCCUUCAGUAUGAUAAAUUAUUCCAGGUUCAUGUUACACAAUUCCUGCCCCAGAUCUGUGAUCAGUUCUCGCCCAAAGAUCCCAGGUUCCUUUUAGUGCUCACAGUCUGAGCACUAGAUUUUGAACCUAGUAAAUGAACCCAGAGAUACUCAUUUUACCUACCUUGUCAUUAUUGCUAAGUCUUUUCAGUCAAUAGAGCCAGGGAAUUUAUAUUUUUACAUUAAAAUACAUCACAAUUUCAAUUAAUAAUUACAAUAUAAUUUAAAGACUAGAAGGUUUCUUUUUGGCUCUGUUUUUGUUUUCUGAGACAAGUUCUGGCCAUCACCUAGGCUAGAGUGCAGUGGCCCAAUUACAGCUCACUGCAACCUUGAAAUCCUGGGCUCAAGCGAUCUUUCUGCCUUGGCCUUCUGAGUAGCUGGAACUACAGGCAUGCACUACCAUGCCCAGCCAUUUAAAAAAAAAAUCUCUUUUGUAGAAAUGGGGUCUUGCUGUGUUGCCUAGGCUAGUCCCAAACUCCUGGGCUCAAGCAAUCCUCCCACCUUGGCCUCCCAAAGUGUUGGGAUUAUAGGUGUGAGCCACCACAGCUGGCCAAGACUACAAGGUUUUUACUUAAACGUUUUUUCUCUUAAAUCUAAAUUACCUUUCUUCCAUACCAAAAAUCCUAGUUCCUGAUACCAACAUAAUUUCACUUGCUUUAUCCCAUAAUGCACACAACAGUCUCAAGAAGAACGAGAGAGAGAGACAGAGAGAGAGAAAGAGAGAGAGAGAAAAGAGAAAGAGAGGGAGGGAGGGAAGAAAGGAAGGAAAGAAGGAAAGCAGGAAGGCAGGCAGGCAGAUGUAAACAGUAACAACACUAUCAUCAAUAAUAAUUUUAAAAAACAAUGUAAAAUUGUUUCACAAUUCUUUUUCUUAGGAGAUAUCUACAUACUGUAUCAUUUGAAAUCAUUCCUCUCUGUCCUUGAGGAAUCAUCAUACUGUCUUCCACAAUGGUUGAACAGGCACCCUACAGAAUGGGAGAAAAUUUUUGCAAUCUAUCCAUCUGACAAAGAGCUAAUAUCCAAAAUCUACAAGGAAUUUAAACAGAUUUACAAGAGAAAAACAAACAACCCCAUCAAAAAGCAGGCGAAGGAUAUGAACAGACACAUCUCAAAGGAGGACAUUUAUGUGGCCAAUAAACCUAUGAAAAAAAGCUCAUCAUCACUGGUCAUUAGAGAAAUGUAAAUCAAAACCACAAUUAGAUACCAUUUCACGCCAGUUAUAAUGGUGAUCAUUAAAAAAUCAGGAAACAACAGAUGCUGGAGAAGAUGUGGAGAAAUAGGAAUGCUUUUACACUGUUGGUGGGAGUGUGCAUUAGUUCUUCCUUGAUUCUUAAAGGAACCAUGCUUAAUCUCCAGGUCUACUUGUUUACAGCUGAAGUGAGCCCCCAAGCAGUUAUAGAUUAAAUUAGUUUGCAUCAGGUAAAUUGGUUUCCACCAAACUGAAUGAAGGCACAGAAGCUGGUUGGGAUUCUUCUGUUAAACAUUGUCUAGUCUCGGAAAGCAAAAAAUAAUAAUAAUGAAAGGAGGCACUAACAAGGAAAUGAAGUAAGUUUAAUGCCUAAAAAUAGCCAUGCUUAGUAAAUACUCAUUUCUCAUCCUCAGUGAGUCCCUUUGUAAACUGCAGUUAAAAAUGAAGGCUUAAGA